Molecule: long non-coding RNA, 738 nt
Filed under: Rattus norvegicus (Norway rat)
Lineage: Eukaryota; Metazoa; Chordata; Mammalia; Rodentia; Muridae
Description: long non-coding RNA NONRATT029779
Source: RNAcentral
GUCAUGGCUUUUUUUUUUUUUUUUUGGAUUGUAUUUGACCUGCCCUCAGGAACUCAGAAGACCCACAGAUAUGCCAAAGGAAGUGUGCUGAUGGGUUCAAGAAUAUUGUUGUGCCCUGGGUUCAGUCCUUAGCUCCAAAACAAAAACAAAAACAAAAAAAUGUUGUAUCUGUAUACCCAAGAAGGAGUUAAAUUCUUUUUAACAUUACACUUAUUUAUGUGUACAGGGGGCGGCAUGUAGGUUUGGAGGUUGAAGAAUAACUUUGGGGAUUAGUCCUCUCUUUCCACUAUGUGGGUCCCAUAGAUGAAACUCGGGUCUUCAGGAUUGGUGGUGAGCACCUUUACUAGGUGACCCGCUGGCCCAAAAUAUUCUAUUUUAAAAUAAGCUGACUUAGACACGUACUUCUCCCUCGUACCGGAUUAUUUACUGAGUGUCAAAACCCCCAGUGAUCCAAAUCUAAAACUUUAAUUAUCAUUGAAAUUCACAAUUUUAAUUAAAGUAAAAAAGAUCCCUGAAGACUUGCUAGUUUGGUAGCUGGCAGAAGUGGGCUGUAAAAGUCUUCAAAGGGGCUGGAGAGUUAGCUCAGUCGGUUAAGGAGCAAAGCUGGACACCUGAGCUCCAUUCCCGGGGCUCACACAGUGGAAACACAGCCCCAGCUCUGGUAAGUUGUCCUCUGACCUCCGUGUGUGCCUUGACAUGUGCCCCUUCCACAUACACAUAAAUAAAUGUAAUCUCAUU